Molecule: unclassified non-coding RNA, 294 nt
Filed under: uncultured fungus
Lineage: Eukaryota; Fungi
Description: partial contains small subunit ribosomal RNA, internal transcribed spacer 1, and 5.8S ribosomal RNA
Rfam family: Eukaryotic small subunit ribosomal RNA (bases 1-73)
Source: RNAcentral
ACAAACUUGGUCAUUUAGAGGAAGUAAAAGUCGUAACAAGGUUUCCGUAGGUGAACCUGCGGAAGGAUCAUUACCAGAGUGAGGGUCUCUCGCGGCCCGACCUCCCAACCCUUUGUUUACCUAACCUCAGUUGCUUCGGCGGGCACACCACUCUCGAACGGGGAGGCUCGCCGAUGGCCCACUUGAAAACUCCGAAACCAUGAAUCAUGUCUCUUGCCUAAGUCUGAUAUCAAUGCAAAACAUAAAACUUUCAACAACGGAUCUCUUGGUUCUGGCAUCGAUGAAGAACGCAGC